GGUGGUGCAUGGUUGUCGUCAGCUCGUGUCGUGAGAUGUUGGGUUAAAUCCCGCAACGAGCGCAACCCUUAUUAUCAGUUGCCAGCAUUAAGUUGGGCACUCUGGUGAGACUGCCGGUGACAAACCGGAGGAAGGUGGGGAUGACGUCAAAUCAUCAUGCCCCUUAUGACCUGGGCUACACACGUGCUACAAUGGAUGGUACAACGAGUUGCGAACUCGCGAGAGUAAGCUAAUCUCUUAAAGCCAUUCUCAGUUCGGAUUGUAGGCUGCAACUCGCCUACAUGAAGUCGGAAUCGCUAGUAAUCGCGGAUCAGCAUGCCGCGGUGAAUACGUUCCCGGGUCUUGUACACAC
RNAcentral lists this ribosomal RNA (352 nucleotides) under uncultured bacterium. Its description in RNAcentral is "bacterial SSU rRNA". It matches the Rfam family "Bacterial small subunit ribosomal RNA", at positions 1037 to 1390 of the family's 1533-position model. The record is from RNAcentral.